AGAUUGAACGCUGGCGGCAUGCCUUACACAUGCAAGUCGAACGGCAGCACGGGAGCAAUCCUGGUGGCGAGUGGCGAACGGGUGAGUAAUACAUCGGAACGUGCCCAGUCGUGGGGGAUAACUACGCGAAAGCGUAGCUAAUACCGCAUACGAUCUACGGAUGAAAGCGGGGGAUCGCAAGACCUCGCGCGAAUGGAGCGGCCGAUGGCAGAUUAGGUAGUUGGUGGGAUAAAAGCUUACCAAGCCUUCGAUCUGUAGC
This 259-nucleotide ribosomal RNA is filed under the name uncultured bacterium. Its description in RNAcentral is "partial small subunit ribosomal RNA". It matches the Rfam family "Bacterial small subunit ribosomal RNA", at positions 26 to 287 of the family's 1533-position model. The record is from RNAcentral.